CUUGAUGGAGCCCAGCCUCAGCGGCAGCUCACGGUCCUGCCCGUACGUGGCGAGCAGCGCCUGCGCCUC
Non-coding RNA from Streptomyces bingchenggensis BCW-1, 69 nucleotides. It matches the Rfam family "ASpks TB sRNA". The record is from Rfam. Lineage: Bacteria; Bacillati; Actinomycetota; Actinomycetes; Kitasatosporales; Streptomycetaceae.